Long non-coding RNA from Panicum virgatum (switchgrass), 1489 nucleotides. RefSeq lists it as uncharacterized. The record is from RefSeq and is a predicted model, not a curated record. The transcript has 2 exons. Lineage: Eukaryota; Viridiplantae; Streptophyta; Magnoliopsida; Poales; Poaceae.
GAGUGCCUGGAUUUUCGUAAUGGAAAAAGGGUGUCAUUCGUUGCGUUGUUUGGAAUGGACGAAAGAUGAAGGUUUUAGUUCCAGAGGAAAAAUCUUUCAAAAAAAGUUCCAGAGGAAAGGAAGACAAGCAGUCCGUUGGGAACAAAGGAAUCGAAGACAAACCUUCCAGAGAAACAGCGAGGAAGCCUAUACUUUUGGAGGAAAGAAAAAUACACACCGAGUUUAUCUUCAAACGAGGAAACUUCGUUCGAGCAACAGAAGGAAAUAAAGAAAAAGCCCAAUCAAAAUGGAAUCGAGUUUCACCUAUCGGCCGGUGGGCUUGUAUAGUUUUCCUGUCUUAGCGUAGUUAGCAGCUAGGGUUAGGGUUAGGGUGGAGUGGCGCCUCGGCGUUGUGCGCUGCUUCUUUUGCUGCUCUGGAGCACUGGUGGAGUUGAAGGCCACGGUGGAGCUGGCAGGUGCGUCGGCGACACUUGCUUCUUCCUCUUCGCUAGCGGUCCAUGGAGCUUUUGGUGUCUCCGCUGUUUCUUCUCCGGCUCCGGCGAUGACAGCGUGAGUUUGUAUCUCCUGGUCUUUUGUGAAAGGGUGGGAGCUCCGGUCACCCCUCUGGGUGUGCAGCUUGUCCCCGUUGCUGGGUUCCUUGGCGGCGGUGGACUUUUCUUCCGGUCGCCGGUCCUCUGGCUGGCGACGGCGGAUUUCUUCUUCCUUCCCCUUUCUGUCAAGGUGACGGCCGAUACUCGUUCAUUGGAUUUGAUUCGCUUGGCGGAGUUCUGGGCGAUGUCUCUUGCUGCGCUUCCAAGGCUUGGAGUCUCUUGCCGGGAGGGGGGUGGAUCUGGACUGAUGCGGUGGUGGCGAUGGCGAACUGGAGACCGGAGAUGAGGAAGAUGACGAUGCAUCCUGAGGACUCAUUUGUAAUUUUUUUUCUUUGGGGUCAGUUUGUAAAAGGUGGGUGUACUGUGCUGAUGUUUAUCUUUAAUAUAUCUUCCCUUUCGCAAAAAAAAAAAGAGCUUAACAAAUCUUUUGAGCACCUCCAAGAAUCUAACUCCAAAUUUACAAAAAAAAACGAAGAUAGAAAAAACUCUGCAGAGAGAACUCUCUUUCUCGUGGCUUGGGGAGUAGAGCUUUGGUUAGCGAAGAAGAGCGGAUUUAGGGGUGCUUGAAAAAAGUGGAGGGCUCACCACCUGAUGCAGAGCUGCUAGCCUCCGGCUGUGCUGCGAUGAUCCUUGGCGUCAUGGCGCCUGAGCUUGGUUCAGGGAGGAAGAAGGAUGACAGCAAUGUGUGGAUAAGGUCGACGGGACUUCCGGCAUGCGGAUGGUAAAAUAAAUGUAGGACCCACAUGUAAGACCAGAGAUAUUCACCUGUUCUUCUGCAUGGUCAUGUCAAUUUCCAUCACUAAAAUCAAGUCAGCAUUUCUAUUGUCCUAGCAUUUUGUGAUUCCUGUGUUGUUCUUACGAUCCAAACAGUCUAAAUUUUACAUUUCUGUAUUUUGGAA